AUUCUGUAAUGAGGGCACUUUCGUAAUAAUUCUCUCUACCUUUCCCAUGCCUCAUACAAGGACUUAUCAUCUAUUUGUUGGAAGGUAGUGAUCUCAUUUCUCAACUU
Gossypium arboreum is the source of this 107-nucleotide small nucleolar RNA. Lineage: Eukaryota; Viridiplantae; Streptophyta; Magnoliopsida; Malvales; Malvaceae. The record is from RefSeq and is a predicted model, not a curated record.